UGGGGAAUAUUGCACAAUGGGCGCAAGCCUGAUGCAGCCAUGCCGCGUGUGUGAAGAAGGCCUUCGGGUUGUAAAGCACUUUCAGCGAGGGGGAAGGGUGGUGAGCUUAAUACGCUCAUCAAUUGACGUUACUCGCAGAAGAAGCACCGGCUAACUCCGUGCCAGCAGCCGCGGUAAUACGGAGGGUGCAAGCGUUAAUCGGAAUUACUGGGCGUAAGGCGCACGCAGGCGGUUUGUUAAGUCAGAUGUGAAAUCCCCCGGGCUCAACCUGGGAACUGCAUUUGAAACUGGCAAGCUAGAGUCUCGUAGAGGGGGGCUAGAAUUCCAGGUGUAGCGGUGGAAUGCGUAGAGAUCUGGAGGAAUACCGGUGGCGAAGGCGGCCCCCUGGACGAAGACUGACGCUCAGGUGCGAAAGCGUGGGGCAGCAAACAGGAUUAGAUACCCUGGUAGUCCACGCUGUAAACGAUGUCGAUUUUGGAGGUUGUGCCCCUUGAGGCGUGGGCUUCCGGAGCUAACGCGUUAAAUCGACCGCCU
RNAcentral lists this ribosomal RNA (534 nucleotides) under uncultured bacterium. RNAcentral describes it as "partial 16S ribosomal RNA". It matches the Rfam family "Bacterial small subunit ribosomal RNA", at positions 355 to 874 of the family's 1533-position model. The record is from RNAcentral.